Molecule: ribosomal RNA, 689 nt
Filed under: uncultured bacterium
Lineage: Bacteria
Description: bacterial SSU rRNA
Rfam family: Bacterial small subunit ribosomal RNA
Source: RNAcentral
ACACAUGCAAGUCGAGGGGCAGCAUUCGGGUAGCAAUACCUGAGAUGGCGACCGGCGCACGGGUGCGUAACGCGUAUGCAACCUACCCAUAACAGGGGCAUAACACUGAGAAAUUGGUACUAAUUCCCCAUAACAUUCGAAGAGGCAUCUUUUCGGGUUGAAAACUACGGUGGUUAUGGAUGGGCAUGCGUUGUAUUAGCUGGUUGGUGAGGUAACGGCUCACCAAGGCGACGAUACAUAGGGGGACUGAGAGGUUAACCCCCCACAUUGGUACUGAGACACGGACCAAACUCCUACGGGAGGCAGCAGUGAGGAAUAUUGGUCAAUGGACGCAAGUCUGAACCAGCCAUGCCGCGUGCAGGAAGACGGCUCUAUGAGUUGUAAACUGCUUUUGUACGAGGGUAAACUCAGAUACGUGUAUCUGACUGAAAGUAUCGUACGAAUAAGGAUCGGCUAACUCCGUGCCAGCAGCCGCGGUAAUACGGAGAAUUCAAGCGUUAUCCGGAUUUAUUGGGUUUAAAGGGUGCGUAGGCGGUCUGAUAAGUUAGAGGUGAAAUCCCGGGGCUUAACUCCGGAAUUGCCUCUGAUACUGUUGGGCUAGAGAGUAGUUGCGGUAGGCGGAAUGUAUGGUGUAGCGGUGAAAUGCUUAGAGAUCAUACAGAACACCGAUUGCGAAGGCAGCUUACCAA